UGAGAUAUUGGACGUCACUGGUGAUGAUGAAAGUCAUCAAAAUAAAAAUACAAGUGGACAAAACUAGGACUAUUCUCGUCCAGACAGAACAUAACAGAAGCAGCGAGGUUACAAAAGCACAAUUCCUUUCCUGUCUUUUAAAGACUUUGACCGUUGACCACGUUGACUUGGAAACCCCUUACGGCUUACGCACGGGUGGAGUGGUUUGGUUUAGUUCAUAACUUCAUUCCUUCCCUCCUAUCUUCUUCUUAUUUUUACUUAACAAAU
RNAcentral lists this long non-coding RNA (267 nucleotides) under Brassica rapa (field mustard). RNAcentral describes it as "long non-coding RNA (BRAP_LNC001148)". The record is from RNAcentral. Lineage: Eukaryota; Viridiplantae; Streptophyta; Magnoliopsida; Brassicales; Brassicaceae.